UCCCUGGUGGCUCAGAGGUUAAAGCAUCUGCCUGGAAUGCGGGAGACCUGGGUUCUAUCCCUGGGUCGGGAA
Molecule: transfer RNA, 72 nt
Filed under: Bos taurus (domestic cattle)
Lineage: Eukaryota; Metazoa; Chordata; Mammalia; Artiodactyla; Bovidae
Also listed under: 6 other names
Rfam family: tRNA
About the family: Transfer RNA (tRNA) molecules are approximately 80 nucleotides in length. Their secondary structure includes four short double-helical elements and three loops (D, anti-codon, and T loops). Further hydrogen bonds mediate the characteristic L-shaped molecular structure. tRNAs have two regions of fundamental functional importance: the anti-codon, which is responsible for specific mRNA codon recognition, and the 3' end, to which the tRNAs corresponding amino acid is attached (by aminoacyl-tRNA synthetases). tRNAs cope with the degeneracy of the genetic code in two manners: having more than one tRNA (with a specific anti-codon) for a particular amino acid; and 'wobble' base-pairing, i.e. permitting non-standard base-pairing at the 3rd anti-codon position.
Source: Rfam by way of RNAcentral